GUUGGAGCCUAAACCUGUGCCAAGGGACAUCGAUGCUGGAAUCAGGUAAGAGACAGAGUUUUUUUCUUUUAACCCCUUCUGCAUGGAGGGGGGCACUAUAGAGAGCUAUAGUCCAGGAAAACAUUUUUGUUUUCCUGGCAGUAUAAUUUCCCUUUAAGCACAUGUGAUGGACCGACUGGCACCCCGAUUGGGUGCUUCCGCCAAUUGAUGCUUCCUAGUGCUCACGAGUACUUCCAAGCACUCCACAGGACACCAUCAGCACUGUAGAUCCUUAGCCGCUGCAGUUUGGCUGGAGUCUUGCUGUCUUCCACCCACCCUGGACCCAAGUCAGGGAUCCAGCUUCCAGUGGGUAGACCUCUCCUACUCCAGAGAGUAUAGCAGGAUAGCUCUUACAAGAGAUAGUGAUAUAGCUGUUCCAUACAAUCACAAGAUGAGGCUCUGUGAGGGUGAAGUUGACCUGUUUAAUGGCAGCCUCAACUGGCCUUAUAUGCAAGUCCCAAUGCAAGGGGUUUUCCAUAAUAUAUUCCAGGGGCAUUCCCCACUGGACCUGAGAGGGGACUGUGACAAAGUACACACUGUAAUCACAUUGGCUCUCAGGUCCAGGGCACUCCCACACAAAACAGGAUCAUCCCUUCCCUGUGCCUGAGAGAUAAUUGAGUCAGGAACUGUACUAAACUCUGUUAUCUCCAGGCACAGAAAACAUUUCUUACAAUAACCCAAAAGUACCCCCGAAACACA
This is a non-coding RNA of Pelobates cultripes (western spadefoot toad), 738 nucleotides long. The record is from the annotation of a GenBank genome assembly. Lineage: Eukaryota; Metazoa; Chordata; Amphibia; Anura; Pelobatidae.